This 1350-nucleotide ribosomal RNA is filed under the name Scolecobasidium anellii. Its description in RNAcentral is "LSU rRNA". It matches the Rfam family "Eukaryotic large subunit ribosomal RNA", at positions 90 to 1452 of the family's 3401-position model. Lineage: Eukaryota; Fungi; Ascomycota; Dothideomycetes; Venturiales; Sympoventuriaceae. The record is from RNAcentral.
CGAGUGAAGCGGCAACAGCUCAAAUUUGAAAUCUGGGGUCUUUUUGGGCCUCCGAGUUGUAAUUUGCAGAGGGUGCCUCGGAGGGCGAGUCGGUCCAAGUGCCUUGGAACAGGAUACCGCAGAGGGUGAGAGUCCCGUAUCCGGCCGGCGAUGCGCUCCGUGUGAGGUCCCUUCGACGAGUCGAGUUGUUUGGGAAUGCAGCUCCAAGCGGGUGGUAAAUUCCAUCUAAAGCUAAAUACUGGCCAGAGACCGAUAGCGAACAAGUAGAGUGAUCGAAAGAUGAAAAGCACUUUGAAAAGAGAGUCAAACAGUACGUGAAAUUGUUGAAAGGGAAGCGCAUGGGGGCAGACUUGGCCGCGGGGUUCAGGGUGCGUUCUCGCGCCUGUACUUCCCCGCGGACAGGCCAGCAUCGGUUCCGGGGGCCGGACAAAGGCGUUGGGAAGGUGGCAGCCUUCGGGGUGUGUUAUAGCCCGACGCGCAAUGCGGCCACCUGGGACCGAGGACCGCGCCUUGUGCAAGGAUGCUGGCGUAAUGGCCUCAUGCGGCCCGUCUUGAAACACGGACCAAGGAGUCUAACAUCUAUGCGAGUGUUUGGGUGUCAAGCCCGGGCGCGCAAUGAAAGUGAACGGAGGUGGGAUUUCUGUACGGAAAGCACCAUCGACCGAUCCGGACGUCUUCUGAAGGAUUUGAGUAAGAGCAUAGCUGUUGGGACCCGAAAGAUGGUGAACUAUGCGUGAAUAGGGUGAAGCCAGAGGAAACUCUGGUGGAGGCUCGCAGCGGUUCUGACGUGCAAAUCGAUCGUCAAAUUUGCGUAUAGGGGCGAAAGACUAAUCGAACCAUCUAGUAGCUGGUUCCUGCCGAAGUUUCCCUCAGGAUAGCAGUAACGUAUUCAGUUUUAUGAGGUAAAGCGAACGAUUAGGGAGCUAGGGGUUGAAACAACCUUUAUCCAUUCUCGAACUUUAAAUAUGUAAGAAGUCCUUGUUGCUUUGUUGAACGUGGACACUCGAAUGCAGCGUUACUAGUGGGCCAUUUUUGGUAAGCAGAACUGGCGAUGCGGGAUGAACCGAACGUGGGGUUAAGGUGCCGGAAUGCACGCUCAUCAGACACCACAAAAGGUGUUGGUUCAUCCAGACAGCAGGACGGUGGCCAUGGAAGUCGGAAUCCGCUAAGGAGUGUGUAACAACUCACCUGCCGAAUGAACCAGCCCUGAAAAUGGAUGGCGCUCAAGCGUGCUACCCAUACCCCACCGUCUUUUUAGGAUGUUCUGAAAAGACGAGUAGGCAGGCGUGGAGGUUUUGUGACGAAGCCCAGGGGGUGACCCCGGGUCGAACGGCCUCUAGUGCAGAUCUG